RNAcentral lists this ribosomal RNA (548 nucleotides) under uncultured Glomeromycotina. RNAcentral's name for it is "SSU rRNA". It matches the Rfam family "Eukaryotic small subunit ribosomal RNA", at positions 548 to 1098 of the family's 1831-position model. Lineage: Eukaryota; Fungi; Glomeromycota. The record is from RNAcentral.
UUGGAGGGCAAGUCUGGUGCCAGCAGCCGCGGUAAUUCCAGCUCCAAUAGCGUAUAUUAAAGUUGUUGCAGUUAAAAAGCUCGUAGUUGAAUUUCGGGAUCAAUACGUCGGUCGUGCCUCUGGUAUGAACUGGUGUUAUUGAUUCCUCCUUUCUGAUAAACCAUGAUGUCAUUAAUUUGGUGUUGUGGGGAGUCAGGACUGUUACUUUGAAAAAAUUAGAGUGUUUAAAGCAGGCCUACGCUUGAAUACAUUAGCAUGGAAUAAUGAAAUAGGACGUUCGAACCUAUUUUGUUGGUUUCUAGGAUCAACGUAAUGAUUAAUAGGGAUAGUUGGGGGCAUUAGUAUUCAAUUGUCAGAGGUGAAAUUCUUGGAUUUAUUGAAGACUAACUACUGCGAAAGCAUUUGCCAAGGAUGUUUUCAUUAAUCAAGAACGAAAGUUAGGGGAUCGAAGACGAUCAGAUACCGUCGUAGUCUUAACCAUAAACUAUGCCGACUAGGGAUCGGAUGACGUUAAUUUUUAAUGACUCAUUCGGCGCCUUACGGGAAAC